This 471-nucleotide ribosomal RNA is filed under the name uncultured organism. RNAcentral's name for it is "partial 16S ribosomal RNA". It matches the Rfam family "Bacterial small subunit ribosomal RNA", at positions 330 to 797 of the family's 1533-position model. The record is from RNAcentral.
CGUACACUCCUGCGGGAGGCAGCAGUGAGGAAUAUUGGACAAUGGGUGGAAGCCUGAUCCAGCCAUCCCGCGUGCAGGAAGACGGCCCUAUGGGUUGUAAACUGCUUUUAUCUGGGGAUAAACCUACUUACGUGUAAGUAGCUGAAGGUACCAGAAGAAUAAGCACCGGCUAACUCCGUGCCAGCAGCCGCGGUAAUACGGAGGGUGCAAGCGUUAUCCGGAUUUAUUGGGUUUAAAGGGUCCGUAGGCGGACUGAUAAGUCAGUGGUGAAAUCCGACAGCUUAACUGUCGAACUGCCAUUGAUACUGUUAGUCUUGAGUAAGGUUGAAGUGGCUGGAAUAAGUAGUGUAGCGGUGAAAUGCAUAGAUAUUACUUAGAACACCAAUUGCGAAGGCAGGUCACUAAGUCUUAACUGACGCUGAUGGACGAAAGCGUGGGGAGCGAACAGGAUUAGAAACCCUGGUAGUCCCA